Trichobilharzia regenti is the source of this 45-nucleotide non-coding RNA. The record is from Rfam. Lineage: Eukaryota; Metazoa; Platyhelminthes; Trematoda; Strigeidida; Schistosomatidae.
AUCCAGAUGACAAAUCCCAAAUAGGACGAAAUGAAGAUCCUGGAU